Molecule: long non-coding RNA, 5297 nt
Filed under: Salmo salar (Atlantic salmon)
Lineage: Eukaryota; Metazoa; Chordata; Actinopteri; Salmoniformes; Salmonidae
Description: lncRNA (ENSSSAG00000097258.1)
Source: RNAcentral
GUUGACAUGUCAUCACUUCAUUUUUUUGCGCCUGCGCAUAAAUCUGAGAAACGUGAGUUUUGUCUUCAUUGUUUAUCUCGACAUAGGAUAGGUUGUGUGAAAAUAUUACUGAUGUUUAACGUUAAAAAUGGACCAAAAGAUUAAUGCUAAACAACAUUUGACAUGUUUGAACAAACAUAAAUAGAUUAUUUACUAGGUUUUUUAGCUUUUCGGGCGUGAUUUUACAGUCCCCCACCACGUUUUGUGGGAGCAUAAUGAACACUAAGUACUUGGUGUUAUUUGGACAUAAAUUAUGAACUUUGUCAAAAGAAACCACAUUUGUUCCGGACCUGUGAUGCCUUCCGGACCUGGGAUGCCAGUCUUCUGAUGGAGAUAAUCAAAGAAUCAUAUAGCCACUGGUGCCUGGAGCUAGAAGCUUCUGGAAGGAGAGGCUACACUAUGAAUAGGCCUACACUACUCCUAAUGUGCACAGCUGCGCCAACGCUGACUGUUCUCUGCUGGCAAAUAAGCAAAUGGAAGAGGAGGUGUUUGAGCUUGUCCUUUAGUUCACUCUCGCCGAGGAUGCAUGGCCUACCGAGUCUCGGUGACUUUGAAGCACUCAAUCACAUCCAGUCUACUUCACUCGGCAUGAAAGGAGGGAUUUGGAGUGUACCUCACCACCCCUCUCUUUUUUCUGGAGAAGCAGGUUUUUUUUUUGGAGAGCUUGUGUUUUGUCGGUUUGGAAUUAUGGAUGAAUCUUCCUGGAUUGGGUUUCACUUGACAGUAACAACACAUCUCUGGUUUAACAUGACUGCUAUUAUUGUUUUCAAUGUAGCGUUCCCUUCUCCCUGCCUCUGGAAAACGGCUCUUGUUACGUUGUUCUCCUCCUGCAUUUUUUGUUGUUGUUGAUCUUUUGUUUAGUACUCUAUCAAACUCCAACAUAUCACCACCUUUCAGUUCUAUGGUGGUAUUACAGUUUUUCCCAAUUGUUAACACACAUUUGCUGAAACUACAGGGACGAGGAGGAGAUGGGCAGUGUUGUAUCGUCCAAGGCGGGCAUGGAGGUGGAGGACCCCAUUGUGGCUCAUAGCUGCGCAUAUGGUGACAUUUCCCUCAAUGUGGCCAGGUACCUCAAUGAUGGCGCGUUGACCAAAGAUGUUCCUUCCUCUCCUCCUCGUCUUCGCUAAAUUUAAUCCAGCCUCAUCUAUGAAUGAGUUCCUGGGGGAUGGGACUUGCAUCCAACUCCAUGAGUCUCUGAAAUGACAAUAAAUACUGUAAUUGCUGUAUAGUAAAGUUCACUGGCAACAUCAAUGAGUCUCUAAUGUUUUAAGAGUAUAAUACAAGUACAUUACUUACUUGCACAUAUUUGUAUCAUUUAUCCUUCACUCUUUGGGAAUUCCUUUAAAAUCGGACCCUGUAGAUUUGCUUCAUCCUGAAAUGGUGUUUCUUAAGGCUAUGAUUGAUAAGCUCACUAUGAUGUUAUGGAAUGGCAGGGUUUUCAAUAAUCUGUUGUUGGAUUUCCCGCAGUCUUAUGGCAUUAUUUUCACCUACCAUUUGCACAAUGGCAGACACUUUUUGACUGUAAAUAGACGUGUUCUACCAGCACGUGGUGGUCAUCUUUCAGUUCUACAAAAACAAAAUAGCAUACAGUACAGUAAACCCUACAGCAUACAAGAUAAACUUGUUACAAAAUAGUAUAGCUCCCAAUUAUAAUACAUACAGUAAUACAUUAAACAUUUACUUUGUUUCCCCUUAUAGUAUGUAUUGGAAUCUACAGUCUUUACUGUGCUUUAUGUUGUACUAUUGUCAAGUAGUAAAAAUAGCAGAUAGGUCCAAUGUCUGCAGUACAUACCUAUUCUAAUUUUGGAACGUUCGGAUAAUGCAUGCUACGAUGAAGCGGCUCAGAUUGGGCUGCACUCUCGGACCAGUCUCUCUCAAGGUCAAACCAUGGUUGACCACAUGGUCCACCACAGUCGCCUACAUUUAAUCAGAGUUUACUCUCCUUGUUCUUCCUCCACCUCCACCUUUACCUCCACCUCUACGUCUCCCUGCUAACUUUGUUACGUUGCUUUUCAAACACAGGAGUACUCACCUGUAGCCUUUUUAUCCAUACCAAAAGUCUGAAUUCAAAGUGGACAUUUACGCAAUUAGUGUUUGCACAUGUGAAGAGUGAAAGUGAUCAAUUGGUAAUUGAGCUUAGCUUGUUGAAGAGUGUUGCUUUUCAUUUGCACACGAGAUUGUAGUUGUGAAGGUUGUGCCAAAGGUAGAGAUUUGUGCAUUGUGUUUUGCCAAAUGUGUGUUAUAGAAUUGCAAUCUGAGUGUAAAGCAAAACAUGUGCCAGUAGUAUUGCAAAUGUGGUGUAUGGUUCUGCUAAAAUGAGUUACUGGUUUGGGUCAUUGUGCCUCAUGGGCCAGUUUUAGUGUGUAAACAAUCGGGAAAAACUGUACAUGUACUUUGGCUAGGAAAAUGAAAGUGAAGGUUGACUACAACCUUUUAGCAGGAGGUUGUUUCACAAAGCAGGCUUCGUUCUUUACUCAAUUCAAUAAUAAUAAAUAAAAACUUUAUCAAAGAAUCAAACAUAAUUCCUCCCUCCAGCAAGACUCUUGGAUGUUUGGAUAAAACUGAAGUAAUUGAGAAACAUGUUCAGGAGAGUGAUGCUUUUUAAUGACCAUUGUUUCUCUAAUGACUAAGCACAACUGAAAGCAAUUACAAAAACGUUGGUUCAUACUUUUUCCUAAUUCAGCAUAAUAAACCAUCUGAGUGGUUAAAGGUUACAAAACAGAUGAGAAAUUUUGGAAGGCAUUUUUUGGAGAUGUAUUAUUCAAUGUCUGUUGUUGCCUUUUUAAUUGUUACAAUAUAUUUUAGUAUGGGCAACUGGUUGUAGGAUGACCUUCUUUUAUGUAGCUAAUUCAAUUGAUGUGAACAUAUAUUUUUGAAAACCGUGACUUUGUCUAGCUCUCUUUAUGUAACUAUAGGUGAAUGCCAAUCAUGUCUAUGUAUUUUUAUCUCUCAGGUUCUUAAUCAUCAUGCAGCCUGGUAGCUACUGUACUGUAUGUGACGUGACAGGAGUUCAGACAUUCUAAGAAAGAGAUGUUCACAUGAUGGUGUUGCCAGGAGACUAACGGUUCACUGUUCCAGUUGACAGAUCAUUAUCUGGCAUAGAGGUGAAGGGUCACGACUCAGAUGCUCUACAGCUGAAUCUGAUAUGUUGAAGGGCCUGAUGACUUCAAAGAACAAAUGAACAUUUGAAUUCUGAUGGCUUUGUAAUGGCUGAAAUACUAUACAGUUGUCACGUUCUGACCAGUAAAUGGGGUUAUUUGUUAUUGUAGUUUGGUCAGGACGUGGCAGGGGGGUAUUUGUUUUAUGUGGUUCGGGGUUUGUUAGUAUAUGUGUUUAUGUAGAGGGGUGUUUGGUUAGAGUAUUCUGGGGUUUUUGGGUUAUGUUCUUUAUUUCGUAUUUCUAUGCUCUGUCUAUGUUGUGUAUUUCUUUGUUGGCCUGGUAUGGCUCUCAAUCAGGAACAGCUGCACAUCGUUGUUGCUGAUUGAGAGUCAUACUUAGGUAGUCUGUUUUCACCUGUGGGAAGUUGUUGUUGUACUGCUGUGUGUUAGCUGCUGUGUGUUAGCAUGCAACACUGUUCGUUCGAUCGUUUUCUUGUUUUGUUUAUUUAGUGUUCAAUAAAAGUUAAGAUGAGCUCUCAACCCGCUGCGCCUUGGUCCAUUACGUACGACGACCGUUACAACAGUACUGUCCAUUUACCCAACCAUCACAUUUCUCGUCCCGCAUUUUUUCUGUACCACUUGAGCUUCUGUAUUGGAGGAGCUGAAAAAAUAUCUAUUAGCCACUCAGUCGGGCAAUUGAGGGAAUACUAGUACUUCGUACUAGUACUUCAAUGACUAGAGUUAGACAUUUUAAGAAAAGCCACUUUGGCUCCUGGUUUGGUUUUCUUUACAAGUUUUCAAAACAUCCAUUGUGUCUGGAAACUAGGACAUCAUAACACCACUGACAUCUUCCUCCCAACUCAGGCCCUUCGCACACACACACUCCAUAAUGUUUUAUCUAAUAUUUACACACAUAAAAGCCAUUGUUUGAUUUUCUUUGUCUCUACUUUGAUUGAUACCUGUAUCUUGGGGCAGGGGACCAAGCUAAUUCAAAUGGAGGUCAUGAGCAGUGUAUGAUGUCUGUGUGAGCUGUGUUAGUAACAGCUAAAUGAGAUUUGCAAAGUCUGAACAAUAAAGCUGACCUGAUAUCAUGUGAAGGCGUCAUUCAUCACGCCAGUCCUGUGAGUGCAAACUUCACCGUGAAAAAAAAACACCUCAAAGACUGGAGUGGAAUAAUCUCAUCUAACUUUCAACUGGUGAGCAAUUGCAGUAAAGAUGUCAUAUCUUAUGCCAUUAUGAAGCCUGCUCGUCCCGGGAAAUGAAAAGAACAAACAAACAAAGAACAGCACAAGCACUGCAUGAGACCACAGACUUCAAACAUGUUUUUUUUUUUUGCUUUUGUGAUUGAAUAUAUAUAGUAGAUCACAAUGAGAUGAUUCACAAUGAGUGAUGAGGCUCGCCAGCCAUAGAUCAGAGCCAGUAUUGUGGGCUAACUGAAGGGCGAUGCAAUCCUGUCAUCUUCAAAUGGCAAAUGUCCUCUAGCAGUGUUUUGAACCGUUCCUCUUAUAGAGUUUAAAUGAUAGCUUAUAAUGAAAUAGUUUGGCUACAGGCUUUGCACUUGUAGUCAUUUAUUAAUUAGCACUAAUUUCACCUCAGUAAGUAACAAUAGUUGGGAAUAGAUUGAUAUCAGAAAAUAUGGUGGUUUCAUGUCAAACUAAUUAUUUUCUAGAUUCUAUCUGGAAGAAGGAACAAAAGUGCUGUUACACGAUCCACAUAACUAAUUACCAAUCAAUGCAGCUAAAAUGAGUGGAAGUGAGAACCACUGUGCCAAAUCCUUCUAGGAAUUCAAUUUGAGACCCCUGCUAUACGGAUACCAAGGAUGCUAACUGCAUAUAAAUCAUGAAAGGAGGUGGGAGUGGGACUUUUUUUUUUUUUAUCAUGUUUUGUAAUUGCAACAAAGAUUGGAUAAUGCAUGCUCAGCUCCUUUUUCCUGCAAAUACUCCCAUUUGUCUUUGUAAUUGGAUCCUAAUUGAAGUGUGGUGCUUCAAAUAGCCAUUGUGGGAAAAGCAGGUAGGGUUCAUUUGGUGAAAUGCAAGUCAUUUAAAUAAAGCAUUUUAAUAAAGCACUGGAAGAGAAGAAGGUUUUGAUGAGCACAUUCUUUAGAUGUAUAAGACAUGGGCUGCAGUGUAACUUUUAUUAGAUUAUAUUGUGCAAUUGAGG